UGCCCGGUAGCUAAAUGCGGAAGAGAUAAGUGCUGAAAGCAUCUAAGCACGAAACUUGCCCCGAGAUGAGUUCUCCCUGAGACUUUAGGUCUCCUGAAGGAACGUUGAAGACGACGACGUUGAUAGGCCGGGUGUGUAAGCGCAGCGAUGCGUUGAGCUAACCGGUACUAAUGAACCGUGAGGCUUAACCUUACAACGCCGAAG
RNAcentral lists this ribosomal RNA (204 nucleotides) under Salmonella enterica. Its description in RNAcentral is "partial 23S ribosomal RNA". It matches the Rfam family "Bacterial large subunit ribosomal RNA", at positions 2739 to 2925 of the family's 2925-position model. Lineage: Bacteria; Pseudomonadati; Pseudomonadota; Gammaproteobacteria; Enterobacterales; Enterobacteriaceae. RNAcentral also lists the same sequence under 3 other names. The record is from RNAcentral.